GGAUGUGAGGGCAAUCUGGCUCAGACAUCUGUCACCCCAUUGAUCGCCAGGGUUGAUUCGGCUGAUCUGGCUGGCUAGGUGGGUGUCCCCUUCCUCCCUCACUGCUCCAUGUGUGUCCCUCCCAAAGCUGCACUCUCUGUGGAAGAGGACGACCUUCCCCGAAUAGAGGAGGACCGGUCUUCGGUCAAGGGUAUACGAGUAGCUGUGCUCCCCUGCUAUAACCUCCAAACAAUCUCUCAAGGUCCAUUAAUACCUGAAUUCUUGGUAGAUACAACGUCAGAACUCAAAGAAGUUCUGAAACAAAGGAAAAUACAAUUAAGAAUUUUAUAUCUAGCAAAACUAUCUUUAAAU
Non-coding RNA from Mesocricetus auratus (golden hamster), 351 nucleotides. Lineage: Eukaryota; Metazoa; Chordata; Mammalia; Rodentia; Cricetidae. The record is from Rfam.